GACGAACGCUGGCGGCGUGCUUAACACAUGCAAGUCGAACGCUGAAGCACAGCUUUUGUUGGGUGGAUGAGUGGCGAACGGGUGAGUAACACGUGAGUAACCUGCCUCCUUCUUUGGGAUAACGCCCGGAAACGGGUGCUAAUACUGGAUAUUCACUGGUCUUCGCGUGGGGGUUGGUGGAAAGGGUUUUUCUGGUGGGGGAUGGGCUCGCGGCCUAUCGGCUUGUUGGUGGGGUGAUGGCCUACCAAAGCUUUGACGGGUUGCCGGCCUGAGAGGGUUCCCGGUCACAUAGGGACGGAGGUACGGCCCAGAGUCCUACGGGAGGCAGCAGUGGGGAAUAUUGCACAAUGGGCGCAAGCCUGAUGCAGCGACGCCGCGGGAGGGAUGGGGGCCUUCGGGUUGUGAACUUCUUUCGCUCAUGGUCAAGCCGCAACAAUGGUUGUGGUGAGGGUAGUGGGUAAAGAAGCGCCGGCUAACUACGUG
This 483-nucleotide ribosomal RNA is filed under the name uncultured bacterium. RNAcentral's name for it is "partial 16S ribosomal RNA". It matches the Rfam family "Bacterial small subunit ribosomal RNA", at positions 28 to 507 of the family's 1533-position model. The record is from RNAcentral.